Molecule: unclassified non-coding RNA, 253 nt
Filed under: uncultured Hymenobacteraceae bacterium
Lineage: Bacteria; Pseudomonadati; Bacteroidota; Cytophagia; Cytophagales; Hymenobacteraceae
Description: contains 16S-23S intergenic spacer region
Rfam family: Bacterial small subunit ribosomal RNA
Source: RNAcentral
UACGGAGGGUGCAAGCGUUGUCCGGAUUUAUUGGGUUUAAAGCGUACGUAGGCGGUUACUUAAGUCAGCGGUGAAAUCCCACGGCUCAACCGUGGAACUGCCGUUGAUACUGGUUGGCUUGAGUUCGGUCGAGGCGGGCGGAACUGGUGGUGUAGCGGUGAAAUGCAUAGAUACCACCAAGAACCCCGAUUGCGAAGGCAGCUCGCUGGGCCGAAACUGACGCUGAGGCACGAAAGCGUGGGGAGCGAACAGG